Heterocephalus glaber (naked mole-rat) is the source of this 1349-nucleotide long non-coding RNA. Lineage: Eukaryota; Metazoa; Chordata; Mammalia; Rodentia; Bathyergidae. The record is from Ensembl.
AUUGUUUAUCCAAUCUCUAAAAUUUAUAGAGGCAUUAACUUUGUUCUUUGCUGUAUUCUUCAAGCAGUGAAAAUGCAUUCCUUCUCCCUUCUGAAAGCUCAGCAAAUGUUUGUAACCAGAUGUUCCUUGUUUCAUAUGUUUACUGUGUAACACUACAGCAUAUUUAAUAUUAGUAAAACUGUAUUUCAGUCGUAAUGCAUAAAUACAUUCCUGAGGUAUAUUUGCCAUCAGUUCGGGAUUCAGUUACUUCAUACUUCAUUUGCUUCAGAAAAAUAUUGAGCUAUUUGAGGUGGUAUGCAGGCCAUUUUCUGGAUUAGAGUGUUUUUUGAAUCUGUAGCUUAUUGCGGGCUCCCUUUGUGAAGAUGAACUAGAAAAGGAGAGUGUAUAUAGAAAAGGCCCUUGAUUUGCUAAAUGUAAUUUCCAGGAUUAAAAUUUUUAAUUCCAUAUUAUAAAAUGUAAGCAUUCAAACCUCCUAAAAAUCUUCUGAAUUAAAAUUAGUAUGAAAUUUGUAUGGAGCCAAGUGCUUUUAGGUCACCCUGAAACAAUCUUUUUGUAUGAAGGAUAAACACAAACAUUGGUCAGAGACCUUUACAGCUAACUUAUGAAGGGGCCUAGGGCAGUAACUGGGUUACACUAAAGUUAUUUUCAACUGAGAUAGCUGGAAGAGUGUACAAGUGAACAGCUCCAAUUCUGGAAGGUUUUCUUUUAACUUAAAAAAAAAGUAAAGGGCCAAAAGUCAAGAAAGAAGGGAAGAGAAACUGGGCUCUGAGAAAAAAAAUAGUGCCAGUGUGAAAUAAAUUCCUAAAUGUGUGCUUAUCAUCCUUCUAGGUUUUUUAAAAUUUGCAUUUCUUUAGCAGUAUAAGUUAAGAUUUGAGAUUUAGAUUUUGUGGUCCAGAACAUACCCUCAGCAGACACAGCGACUAAUCAGAAAGUACAGUUGUUCAAGGUCUGUCAUGCUCAAUCACUUAAAGCUGUAAUUUGUUUGAUAUGAAUAUUAAGCAUGUAGACCUAGUGCAGCAUGGGAGCCACUCAGGAAGUUUAUGCAAUUGAUAAACUUUCAUGCAUAAUUUACUAUGAAGUAUGCAGAAUUUUAGCCACUUUUCUACACUUAACAUUUAGUUGUACAUGUGAACUCUCCUUUCUUAACUGGGGAAUGUAGCAUUAUAGAGAAUGUUAUUAAACUUAAUUUUAAUCCUUUUUGACAUUAACUUGGGGGGUGGGAAACCAAGUGAUCUGCCUUUCAGCAAUAGUCUGAUUUUGGUUCUCUGAAACUGAUUUUUAUUUCAUUUGUACCCAACCAUUGUUAAGUAUUUUGUUUUGUUUCCUGGAAAUUUUGUUUUGAAACAGAA